GCCAGGUGGGGUGGCACACGCCUGUAAUCCCAGCAGCUCAGGAGGCUGAGACAGGAGGAUUGUGAGUUCGAAGCCAGCUUCAUCUACUUAGUAAGGCUCUAAACUACUCAGUGAGACCCUAUCUCUA
This 127-nucleotide small RNA is filed under the name Marmota monax (woodchuck). The record is from RNAcentral. Lineage: Eukaryota; Metazoa; Chordata; Mammalia; Rodentia; Sciuridae.